Biomphalaria pfeifferi is the source of this 768-nucleotide non-coding RNA. NCBI's taxonomy places the organism in Eukaryota, Metazoa, Mollusca, Gastropoda, Planorbidae. The record is from the annotation of a GenBank genome assembly.
UUCAAUUUGCAUUUUUGUUUUGUUUUGUUUUUUUAAAUUAUUUUUUUUAAAGCCAUUUUCUGUGAAUACAUAGCUUACAUUUAUUUGUACAAACUUGUGUUCAUUCUAUCAGUUAACAAUUUAUUGAUACUUCAGGUUAAACAAUGCUGCAGGACUGUGAAUAGCCACUAAUAAGUGCAGUCUCAUCAACAGAUUUGAUUAGUGAAGUAUGAUUUAAAAAAAAAAAUAUUAGUUAAAGUUCCAAAGUACAAUAAUAGGCUAUAGCUAAAGUAUUUCAAUGAUUUUUUGUUCUCCAUUCCUAAAUAACCCAGUCUAUAAUUUGAUAGUUGUUAGUGAUUUUCUUAGUACAACUUUUGUUUUGUUUGACAAGCUUUUAUUUUCUAAGAACACAUUCUACUUUCCCUUCAGUCACACUGUUGCAACUUAUUUGAUUUUCUUUGUAAUGAUAAUAUAUUAUACAUACUUAUAUUUCUAUAUAUACAAAGGACCACAUUUACCUCCGCUAUUUGUUGUUUAUAUAUUACUAGUGAUUGUGAAGGCUCAUGUAUUUUGUGCAUUUUAAGAUUUAGUCCUUCAAAGUGGGAGCACUGCCAUAAUACCAGAAAGAUAAAUGUCUGAAAGGAAUGCUACUUAAGCCAUUAUCACAGUGGAGACCAUGACAGUGCUGCCACCUUUAUUUUCUUUGUUGAUUAUAUUUUAUCCAGCAUAGCAUUUUGAAUUCAUUGGGGGUUUUUUUCACGGUUUUAUGAUGUAUUCGCCCCCCCCCCC